RNAcentral lists this ribosomal RNA (433 nucleotides) under uncultured bacterium. RNAcentral's name for it is "partial 16S ribosomal RNA". It matches the Rfam family "Bacterial small subunit ribosomal RNA", at positions 29 to 507 of the family's 1533-position model. The record is from RNAcentral.
AACGAACGCUGGCGGCAUGCCUAGCACAUGCAAGUCGAACGAGACCUUCGGGUCUAGUGGCGCACGGUUGCGUAACGCGUGGGAACCUGCCUUUAGGUUCGGAAUAACUCAGAGAAAUUUGAGCUAAUACCGGAUGAUGUCUUCGGACCAAAGAUUUAUCGCCUUUAGAUGGGCCCGCGUUGGAUUAGCUAGUUGGUGGGGUAAAGGCCUACCAAGGCGACGAUCCAUAGCUGGUCUGAGAGGAUGAUCAGCCACACUGGGACUGAGACACGGCCCAGACUCCUACGGGAGGCAGCAGUGGGGAAUAUUGGACAAUGGGCGAAAGCCUGAUCAAGCAAUGCCGCGUGAGUGAUGAAGGCCUUAGGGUUGUAAAGCUCUUUUACCCGAGAUGAUAAUGACAGUAUCGGGAGAAUAAGCUCCGGCUAACUCCGUG